This 611-nucleotide ribosomal RNA is filed under the name uncultured Lachnospiraceae bacterium. Its description in RNAcentral is "bacterial SSU rRNA". It matches the Rfam family "Bacterial small subunit ribosomal RNA", at positions 77 to 697 of the family's 1533-position model. Lineage: Bacteria; Bacillati; Bacillota; Clostridia; Lachnospirales; Lachnospiraceae. The record is from RNAcentral.
UCUUCGGAUUGAAGUUUUUGUGACUGAGCGGCGGACGGGUGAGUAACGCGUGGGUAACCUGCCUCAUACAGGGGGAUAACAGUUAGAAAUGGCUGCUAAUACCGCAUAAGCGCACAGGACCGCAUGGUCUGGUGUGAAAAACUCCGGUGGUAUGAGAUGGACCCGCGUCUGAUUAGCUAGUUGGAGGGGUAACGGCCCACCAAGGCAACGAUCAGUAGCCGGCCUGAGAGGGUGAACGGCCACAUUGGGACUGAGACACGGCCCAGACUCCUACGGGAGGCAGCAGUGGGGAAUAUUGCGCAAUGGGGGAAACCCUGAUGCAGCGACGCCGCGUGAAGGAAGAAGUAUCUCGGUAUGUAAACUUCUAUCAGCAGGGAAGAAAAUGACGGUACCUGACUAAGAAGCCCCGGCUAACUACGUGCCAGCAGCCGCGGUAAUACGUAGGGGGCAAGCGUUAUCCGGAUUUACUGGGUGUAAAGGGAGCGUAGACGGAAGAGCAAGUCUGAUGUGAAAGGCUGGGGCUUAACCCCAGGACUGCAUUGGAAACUGUUUUUCUAGAGUGCCGGAGAGGUAAGCGGAAUUCCUAGUGUAGCGGUGAAAUGCGUAGAUAU